UACGUAGGGAGCAAGCGUUGUCCGGAUUUACUGGGUGUAAAGGGUGCGUAGGCGGCUUUGCAAGUCAGAUGUGAAAUCUAUGGGCUCAACCCAUAGCCUGCAUUUGAAACUGCAGAGCUUGAGUGAAGUAGAGGCAGGCGGAAUUCCCCGUGUAGCGGUGAAAUGCGUAGAGAUGGGGAGGAACACCAGUGGCGAAGGCGGCCUGCUGGGCUUUAACUGACGCUGAGGCACGAAAGCGUGGGUAGCAAACAGG
RNAcentral lists this ribosomal RNA (253 nucleotides) under Ruminococcus bromii. RNAcentral's name for it is "partial 16S ribosomal RNA". It matches the Rfam family "Bacterial small subunit ribosomal RNA", at positions 524 to 776 of the family's 1533-position model. RNAcentral also lists the same sequence under 1 other name. The record is from RNAcentral. Lineage: Bacteria; Bacillati; Bacillota; Clostridia; Eubacteriales; Oscillospiraceae.